Molecule: ribosomal RNA, 377 nt
Filed under: uncultured bacterium
Lineage: Bacteria
Description: bacterial SSU rRNA
Rfam family: Bacterial small subunit ribosomal RNA
Source: RNAcentral
CUACAGAGGGUGCAAGCGUUGUUCGGAAUUACUGGGCGUAAAGCGCGCGCAGGCGGGAUGGCAAGUCGGAUGUGAAAGCCCUUGGCUCAACCAAGGAAGUGCAUUCGAAACUGCUGUUCUUGAGUGUCGGAGAGGGUGGCGGAAUUCCCGGUGUAGAGGUGAAAUUCGUAGAUAUCGGGAGGAACACCAGUGGCGAAGGCGGCCACCUGGACGAACACUGACGCUGAGGCGCGAAAGCGUGGGGAGCAAACAGGAUUAGAUACCCUGGUAGUCCACGCCGUAAACGAUGAGUGCUAGCUGUUGCGGGAGUUGACCCCUGCAGUGGCGAAGCCAACGCAUUAAGCACUCCGCCUGGGGAGUACGGCCGCAAGGCUAAA